CAACCUGAUUUUUUAUUCUAGAAC
RNAcentral lists this non-coding RNA (24 nucleotides) under Gossypium hirsutum (cotton). Lineage: Eukaryota; Viridiplantae; Streptophyta; Magnoliopsida; Malvales; Malvaceae. The record is from RNAcentral.